GAUGAACGCUGGCGGCGUGCCUAAUACAUGCAAGUCGAGCGAACAGGCGAGGAGCUUGCUCCUCUGAUGUUAGCGGCGGACGGGUGAGUAACACGUGGAUAACCUACCUAUAAGACUGGGAUAACUUCGGGAAACCGGAGCUAAUACCGGAUAACAUGUUGAACCGCAUGGUUCAACAGUGAAAGACGGUCUUGCUGUCACUUAUAGAUGGAUCCGCGCCGCAUUAGCUAGUUGGUAAGGUAACGGCUUACCAAGGCAACGAUGCGUAGCCGACCUGAGAGGGUGAUCGGCCACACUGGAACUGAGACACGGUCCAGACUCCUACGGGAGGCAGCAGUAGGGAAUCUUCCGCAAUGGGCGAAAGCCUGACGGAGCAACGCCGCGUGAGUGAAGAAGGUCUUCGGAUCGUAAAACUCUGUUAUUAGGGAAGAACAAAUGUGUAAGUAACUAUGCACGUCUUGACGGUACCUAAUCAGAAAGCCACGGCUAACUACGUG
This 497-nucleotide ribosomal RNA is filed under the name uncultured bacterium. Its description in RNAcentral is "partial 16S ribosomal RNA". It matches the Rfam family "Bacterial small subunit ribosomal RNA", at positions 28 to 507 of the family's 1533-position model. The record is from RNAcentral.